This 242-nucleotide long non-coding RNA is filed under the name Panax ginseng (ginseng). Its description in RNAcentral is "long non-coding RNA (PGIN_LNC018183)". Lineage: Eukaryota; Viridiplantae; Streptophyta; Magnoliopsida; Apiales; Araliaceae. The record is from RNAcentral.
CCUACCCCGAAGGGCCUGACAAUGCCUUAAAGACCACCUGCCGAAGAGGCUACCAUCGAAUGGUCAGCGAGUCCUCCCGAACCUCCUAACACCAAUGAACUGAGCAGCAACAGAGACAAAAUUUGUUUGAGAGAAAAGAGGAACUUUUAUUGAUGAUGAUGUAAAUAUUUACAGACUUCUGAUGUACUGACAUUGAAUCUACUGAAAGUACUUCCUAAGCCUGCCAGCGUGCCAAGUAUUUU